Salvia splendens (bonfire salvia) is the source of this 235-nucleotide long non-coding RNA. RefSeq lists it as uncharacterized. The record is from RefSeq and is a predicted model, not a curated record. The transcript is spliced from 3 exons. NCBI's taxonomy places the organism in Eukaryota, Viridiplantae, Streptophyta, Magnoliopsida, Lamiales, Lamiaceae.
UUUUGCAAAUUCCCCAUUUUACAGUACAUUGAAAAUGCUCUAAUUCUUCCUCUCAUCCGCUCUCCGACUGCCUCCUAUCGCGUAUCGCCGCCGCCGAGAAUUUCCUCCAACUCAUACACAGGAUUCUAGCUCUCUCCCCAAUAGGCAUCAUCAGCAGUCAACUUGCGUAAAAAAAAAAAAUUCUUUUGUACACUGUUGUUCAUACUUAUUCUCGACUUGGUAGGCGAUUGAUAAU